UACAGAGGGUGCGAGCGUUAAUCGGAUUUACUGGGCGUAAAGCGCGCGUAGGUGGCUAAUUAAGUCAAAUGUGAAAUCCCCGAGCUUAACUUGGGAAUUGCAUUCGAUACUGGUUAGCUAGAGUAUGGGAGAGGAUGGUAGAAUUCCAGGUGUAGCCGGUGAAAUGCGUAGAGAUCUGGAGGAAUACCGAUGGCGAAGGCAGCCAUCUGGCCUAAUACUGACACUGAGGUGCGAAAGCAUGGGGAGCAAACAGGAUUAGAUACCUCUGGUAGUCAAGGGCUGAAA
This 285-nucleotide ribosomal RNA is filed under the name uncultured Pseudomonadales bacterium. RNAcentral's name for it is "partial 16S ribosomal RNA". It matches the Rfam family "Bacterial small subunit ribosomal RNA", at positions 524 to 805 of the family's 1533-position model. Lineage: Bacteria; Pseudomonadati; Pseudomonadota; Gammaproteobacteria; Pseudomonadales. The record is from RNAcentral.